Non-coding RNA from Aegilops tauschii subsp. strangulata, 1556 nucleotides. The record is from RefSeq and is a predicted model, not a curated record. Lineage: Eukaryota; Viridiplantae; Streptophyta; Magnoliopsida; Poales; Poaceae.
CGCCGCCGGUCGCGCUCGCAGCCGCCCCGCUCGGCGCACCCACCUCGCUCGAGGUUGGGCGAGCGCGGAAGUAGAGUUCGGGACGGCGGAUCGGAAUCCAUCGACCGAUUCUCUCUUUCUCUCCUCUCCUUUGGAUUCCUGUAGGCGGUGGAUCAAUCUUGCCUUCGUGGUGGCGGCAGAACGAGCGCCGUGAGAUCAGGUGGACCUGCUUCUGAUUCCUCCUGGUGCUUGGGACGUUUUCGGCUAGAUUGAUUUACUAGCUACGUCCAAGCAGGCCACUGGAUUGAUUUCAUGAGGCUUACUAGCUACGUCCCAAUCAAGAUAGCUAGACUUACUAGCUACGUCCCAAGCAGGCCAACCCAAUAUGUUGAUCAAUUUGAUUGUUCUGGCUGGAGGUCAGGAGGUCAGAAGGUGCGUCCUUCACACUAAAUCGUACCCGAAGUUCUACAAUUAGGCAGUGCACUGCGGGAGCGUGUACUGCGACUAUUUCUGCACUGCCGAGGAAGGCUUGAUCUUUCCCACAUGUCCACCUUCUUUACCUUUCCGUUCUUUGAAAUAGAUAAGUUCUGAUAUUCUAACAUUGAUGGAAAAUCAUUAUCUUCUGUAAAGCCACAUUUCAUUUUAUGAUUUUUAGCAGAAGCUCGCUUUGAGUACUUGGUGUGGGGCUGCUGGGGAAGGGAAUGUCCUUCUACUUAGUGAAAGUCGUUGUUGCUGAGGCUGAUUUUACCUUCUUUCUAAGUGUUCUAUUUUAUUAGUGCAAUUGGUUCGAGUUAAACUAACAUCCAUCGUACAAAUAUUUGUGGGACAUAUUCAGAAAUCUGGAAAGAAGCGAGGAUUCUCAAGUAAGAUAAGUCUGCUUACAAAAAUUUGCCUACUGGAAAGUAGAUAAGAGACUCAUGAAGUAAGAAUACAUGCCUACAUAUUAUACAUAGCAGGCUUCUGACUUCUCUGAUUCUGCAAGCCUUGAGGCUGUGAAACAUCUAUGCUAGGUCGCCACACUUCUGCCACCUUCAUUUGAUGAGGUUCAGCGUUCACUACUAUGAAAGAAGAAGGCAUAUAUUUUCCUUGUGGAAUUUCCAGUAGAAUGGCAGUGAGAACGAGUAAAAAUCUACAACAGUAUGACUGUAUGGUUCUCACUCAAAGUAGAGGCCCAACAAACUUUUUUGAAGUAGGAGUCGAAAACUACAAAUCCAUCUAUUCCUAGAAUGGAGCUGGUUGGAGUUGAGCCUACAAUUGAGCGGGUAGUUCGGUGGCACCGACAUCCAGCUGAAAGUUUUAUAGGAGGGUUAGUAAAGCAAAUUUGUUCAUGAGGAAAUGUGCCAGCAAAACAUUGAGUCAGAGUGCAAGACAAAUGCUCUUAACAGUUUUUUUGGUCGCUUUUCUUUAAUUACAAUUCUUAUUAUUUUUAGUUGGCAUUGAUGUACAAAAGAAAAUCCUGUGCCUUUUUUGUCCUCUCAUUGACCAUUGUAUUUUUGAGUCAUAUCAGUCUAUGUAAAAGAAUUCAGUACCUUAUGUUUUGUAUAUUUGGAAAUGUCUAAAGGCGUGGUGUUAUAUAA